UGGCAGAGGUUACUGCUAUCGAGGUUCGACUAAGCCAUGCGAGUCGAAUGUAGCAAUACAUGGCGAACUGCUCAGUAACACGUGGACAACCUGCCCUUAGGUUGGGUAUAAACCCGGGAAACUGGGUAUAAUACCCGAUAGGUCUCGAUUGCUGGAAUGCAUCGAGAUUUAAAGCUCCGGCGCCUAAGGAUGGGUCUGCGGCCUAUCAGGUAGUAGUGGGUGUAGCGUACCUACUAGCCUACGACGGGUACGGGUUGUGAGAGCAAGAGCCCGGAGAUGGAUUCUGAGACACGAAUCCAGGCCCUACGGGGUGCAGCAGGCGCGAAAACUUUACAAUGCUGGCAACAGCGAUAAGGGAACCUCGAGUGCCAGGUUACAAAUCUGGCUGUCGAGAUGCCUAAAAAGCAUUUCAUAGCAAGGGCCGGGCAAGACCGGUGCCAGCCGCCGCGGUAACACCGGCGGCUCGAGUGGUAACCGUUAUUAUUAGGUCUAAAGGGUCUGUAGCCGGCCGGAUAAGUCUCUUGAGAAAUCUGGCAGCUUAACUGUCAGGCUUUCAGGAGAUACUGUCUGGCUCGAGGCCGGGAGAGGUGAGAGGUACUUCAGGGGUAGGGGUGAAAUCUUGUAAUCCUUGAAGGACCACCAGUGGCGAAGGCGUCUCACCAGAACGGACCUGACGGCAAGGGACGAAAGCUAGGGGCACGAACCGGAUUAGAUACCCGGGUAGUCCUAGCCGUAAACGAUACUCGCUAGGUGUCGGCCACGGUGCGACCGUUGUCGGUGCCGUAGGGAAGCCGUGAAGCGAGCCACCUGGGAAGUACGGCCGCAAGGCUGAAACUUAA
Molecule: ribosomal RNA, 839 nt
Filed under: uncultured archaeon
Lineage: Archaea
Description: bacterial SSU rRNA
Rfam family: Archaeal small subunit ribosomal RNA
Source: RNAcentral